RNAcentral lists this ribosomal RNA (637 nucleotides) under uncultured Actinomycetes bacterium. RNAcentral describes it as "bacterial SSU rRNA". It matches the Rfam family "Bacterial small subunit ribosomal RNA", at positions 71 to 722 of the family's 1533-position model. The record is from RNAcentral. Lineage: Bacteria; Bacillati; Actinomycetota; Actinomycetes.
AAGGCCCUUUCGGGGGUACACGAGCGGCGAACGGGUGAGUAACACGUGAGCAAUCUGCCCUUCACUUUGGGAUAACCACCGGAAACGGUGGCUAAUACCGAAUAUGACCAGUCUCUGCAUGGAGUGCUGGUGGAAAGUUCCGGCGGUGGAGGAUGAGCUCGCGGCCUAUCAGCUUGUUGGUGGGGUAAUGGCCUACCAAGGCGACGACGGGUAGCCGGCCUGAGAGGGUGACCGGCCACACUGGGACUGAGACACGGCCCAGACUCCUACGGGAGGCAGCAGUGGGGAAUAUUGGACAAUGGGCGAAAGCCUGAUCCAGCAACGCCGCGUGAGGGAUGACGGCCUUCGGGUUGUAAACCUCUUUCAGUAGGGACGAAGCUAACGUGACGGUACCUACAGAAGAAGCACCGGCCAACUGCGUGCCAGCAGCCGCGGUAAUACGUAGGGUGCGAGCGUUGUCCGGAAUUAUUGGGCGUAAAGGGCUCGUAGGCGGUUUGUCGCGUCGGGAGUGAAAACUCGGGGCUUAACUCCGAGCCUGCUUCCGAUACGGGCAGACUAGAGGUAUGCAGGGGAGAACGGAAUUCCUGGUGUAGCGGUGAAAUGCGCAGAUAUCAGGAGGAACACCGGUGGCGAAGGC